This 76-nucleotide transfer RNA is filed under the name Candidatus Caldarchaeum sp. RNAcentral describes it as "tRNA-Gly". It matches the Rfam family "tRNA". From Rfam's summary of the family: Transfer RNA (tRNA) molecules are approximately 80 nucleotides in length. Their secondary structure includes four short double-helical elements and three loops (D, anti-codon, and T loops). The record is from RNAcentral. Lineage: Archaea; Thermoproteati; Nitrososphaerota; Candidatus Caldarchaeales; Candidatus Caldarchaeaceae.
GCGGCGGUAGUCUAGCCUGGUUCAGGACGUCGGCCUUCCACGCCGAAGGUCGCGGGUUCAAAUCCCGCCCGCCGCA